UUGACACCGCCGUUUUUUUGACCUAGAUUCCUCGGUAAGGGUGAGGGAGGCGAACCUCCCUCCUGCGUUUUCGCUGUUAAUAUGCUGGGUAGGCGAUGAUUAACAGGAUAAGCAGCAUGAUGACAUGACUCAUCAUCGUCCCUUUCCUUCU
This 151-nucleotide small RNA is filed under the name uncultured Citrobacter sp. Its description in RNAcentral is "Short Intergenic Abundant RNA". It matches the Rfam family "Short Intergenic Abundant RNA". Rfam says of the family: This family contains multiple ncRNA from E. coli that were identified in a large scale screen of E. coli, were they were called candidates 43,55 and 61. These RNAs have also been identified by other groups and called QUAD RNAs. The record is from RNAcentral. Lineage: Bacteria; Pseudomonadati; Pseudomonadota; Gammaproteobacteria; Enterobacterales; Enterobacteriaceae.